AACCUGUCAUCAAGUGGGGGAUAACGCUGGGAAACCGGCGCUAAUACCGCAUACGGUCGCAGCAAUGCGAAGAAAGCUUUCCGCGCAAGUGGAAGGCGCUGGAUGAGGGGCCUGCGUCCGAUUAGCUAGUUGGUGGGGUAAAGGCCUACCAAGGCAUCGAUCGGUAGCUGGUCUGAGAGGAUGGUCAGCCACACUGGGACUGAGAUACGGCCCAG
This 215-nucleotide ribosomal RNA is filed under the name uncultured bacterium. RNAcentral describes it as "partial 16S ribosomal RNA". It matches the Rfam family "Bacterial small subunit ribosomal RNA", at positions 123 to 334 of the family's 1533-position model. The record is from RNAcentral.